RNAcentral lists this small RNA (548 nucleotides) under Fusarium sp. BLB-2006a. RNAcentral's name for it is "eukaryotic LSU rRNA". The stretch from base 184 to 337 matches the Rfam family "5.8S ribosomal RNA". Lineage: Eukaryota; Fungi; Ascomycota; Sordariomycetes; Hypocreales; Nectriaceae. The record is from RNAcentral.
UCUCCGUUGGUGAACCAGCGGAGGGAUCAUUACCGAGUUAUACAACUCAUCAACCCUGUGAACAUACCUAAACGUUGCUUCGGCGGGAACAGACGGCCCCGUAACACGGGCCGCCCCCGCCAGAGGACCCCCUAACUCUGUUUCUAUAAUGUUUCUUCUGAGUAAAACAAGCAAAUAAAUUAAAACUUUCAACAACGGAUCUCUUGGCUCUGGCAUCGAUGAAGAACGCAGCGAAAUGCGAUAAGUAAUGUGAAUUGCAGAAUUCAGUGAAUCAUCGAAUCUUUGAACGCACAUUGCGCCCGCCAGUAUUCUGGCGGGCAUGCCUGUUCGAGCGUCAUUACAACCCUCAGGCCCCCGGGCCUGGCGUUGGGGAUCGGCGGAGCCCUCCGCGGGCACACGCCGUCCCCCAAAUACAGUGGCGGUCCCGCCGCAGCUUCCAUUGCGUAGUAGCUAACACCUCGCAACUGGAGAGCGGCGCGGCCACGCCGUAAAACCCCCAACUUCUGAACGUUGACCUCGAAUCAGGUAGGAAUACCCGCUGAACUUAA